Long non-coding RNA from Linepithema humile (Argentine ant), 748 nucleotides. RefSeq lists it as uncharacterized. NCBI's taxonomy places the organism in Eukaryota, Metazoa, Arthropoda, Insecta, Hymenoptera, Formicidae. The record is from RefSeq and is a predicted model, not a curated record.
GGUAGCGUUCACUGUUGAGGUCAGUUGAGGUUGAGAUUCCAACUGUCGUAUGUACGUCGUAUCGAGUUAGUUGAACAAAAUUUUUACUCAUGCUACAAAAAUGGUAUCAUCGUGUACAUAUUGUGGUUCAAAACAAGGGAUCGAGGGUAGAAACACAUCAUAAGUUUCCUCUGAAAGAUAAGGAAAUAUUGCAGUUAUGGUUGCAGUUAUGCUGCAACAAAGAUAGCAUCUGAAACUGCUGUUGGGACGAAAAUUCGUCAUCACUUAAAUCGACGAAUUAUCUGGGAACGUCAGUGAUAGUUAUUAAUAAGAUUAGUAAAAACUAAUUACCUUGUACUAAAAUUGAGUUUGACCAAAAUGAGUGUCGCUUAAAUCUUCUGCUAGUCUUCAAUAGAUCUUAUAUUAAGAAGAUUAUUUUCUCAAAUGUAGCCUUGGGAUAAUAUAAUAUAAGCAUGCUUUCGAUAACUAAUUAUUAUUUAUUUGCAUGAAUUGCAAUAAAACAAGCAGGUGUUGUAAUAAGUUACUCAGCAGUACGGCUUGGCAUGAAUCGCACCAAAAAAUAUGAGCUGUGAGCUUUGUUAGAUGUAAGAUUUUAUUGUUCUUUGCGUGAAGUAAUAUUUUGCAUGAAUCGCACCAAAAAAUAUAAGCUUUGUUAAGGUUUAUAAGGUUUUAUUGGUUCUCUACAUAAUGUUAUAUUUCAUUUGUAUUUCUUUCAAAUUUACAAAUAAUAAAUAUGUUUAAAACUUAA